Molecule: long non-coding RNA, 549 nt
Organism: Trifolium pratense (red clover)
Lineage: Eukaryota; Viridiplantae; Streptophyta; Magnoliopsida; Fabales; Fabaceae
Exons: 2
Source: RefSeq, a predicted model, not a curated record
UUCUCUUUUAGCAAGUGCUGUUUACAACUUCAGAAGAGCUAAACACUAUUUAAUUGAUGUACGGAAAUGAGAUUUAUAAACUAUAAAUAAAACAAUUUGUUACAUGCAAAAGGGAGAAAUAUGGCAAAAAUUAUUAAGUUCGUUUGUGUUAUGAUUAUCAUAUUUUCUCUAUUUCUUGCUGCAACGAACGCUGAAAGAGGACAAUUUAUAUACUGUAAGGAUGACUCUGAAUGUCAAAACAGGGAGUGCCUCUUGCCAUGGACACAGCGUAAGUGUCUAAGGUUCGGAAUAUGUGUAUGUGCUAUGGUGUACCCGGAAACUUAAGUGCAUGUGAUUCUUUUUUAUUGUCAAAGCCAAAAGAAGAAUACAUAAAUAAAUGUCAUGUUAGAAUAUUCUAUGAGCUGUCAUUUAUAUAUUGAAUUUGCAUGGAAUAAUUUGUCUUUUUUUUUUUUUUUUUUUUUUUUAUUUCAAGAACUUUGUGAUUAUGGUUUUGUAAUCUAAGAUGAUUUUAAUGAAAUGAAAUAAGACAGCAAAUAAUAUUAUUAUUAA